This is a non-coding RNA of Acanthosepion pharaonis, 109 nucleotides long. The record is from the annotation of a GenBank genome assembly. NCBI's taxonomy places the organism in Eukaryota, Metazoa, Mollusca, Cephalopoda, Sepiida, Sepiidae.
CGGCGACAUUACAAUGAAAUCCCAGUUCCCGUAUGAUCAACGAAGUUAAGCAACGAGGAGCCUUGUCAGUACCUAGAUUGGUGACCCCUUGGGAAUACCAGGUGCUGUA